RNAcentral lists this long non-coding RNA (5262 nucleotides) under Ailuropoda melanoleuca (giant panda). RNAcentral describes it as "lncRNA (ENSAMEG00000031199.1)". The record is from RNAcentral. Lineage: Eukaryota; Metazoa; Chordata; Mammalia; Carnivora; Ursidae.
AUGAGGACUAGAAUUUGUAUCUGUGUAUUAUCUGAUUUUUCUAUUUUAAAUAAAGAAGGAUCUGCUGUUAACAUAUUUCUCACCAUUCCUACUGGGCAACCACGAUUUGUUUUGUUGCAGAAUAUGGAAAGCCUCAGUUCCACACCAUCUCAUGAGAGGGCUGGACCUGAUGAUGUUGAACUGAUAUCCGAUGAAAGCAAAGAAAAUGAAAAAAACGGCAGACAUACCCAGCGUUUUGAGAAGAAGAAGAAGAAGAAAACUUUCCAGUGAUUCCUAAUCUUCGUUGGACAUUGUCCUGAUUUCCCGACGGGGUCACUCCGUAGCAUCUGUUGAGUCCUGCCGCGUACGUGUACUGUGCUGGGAGCUACGAGUCAGGAACAGCUGCAGUCCCUACCCACCUUGGAAUUCUACAAUCUAGGAGGUUAGGAAUCUAAAAGCUGUGGACCCCCUUCUUAGAAAAACACACACUCAUGUACCAUUUGGCAUGAAAUUGGUAGAAAUGAGCCACCACCUCCCUGCCAAUCCCCGCCAGUGCUGUGGACUCCUCCUGUUCCCUCUCUUCAGUUCUUGUCAUGUCUGCUUCCUCAGCGCAGCCAGGUAAUGGGAGGGGAAUGCUUCCUCUUUCUGACUUUGCAGCUGCGAAGCCUCUUCUUCCAUCUCUUUUCCCCCCCUUCCUUUAAGCUUCCUUCUUUGGGACCCAGGCAACCAGCGGACAUUUUCCCCUGACACCAGGUACCUUUUUUCCAAAGCACAGGUUCCCCAUGAUAGCGUCUCUUUAUUUUCCUUCUUGUUUCAUCCUCUGUCUGCUUUUUUCCUCUGCUCACAGCAAGCCCUUCCUCAUCACGCCAUUGAACAUGACUUUAAAGAAGAUUGCUUUGCCAGCCUCCUAGAGAGGUCUUGUCAGUUUCUCCCUUUUAUGUCUGUUCUCCUUUAUGCGAUAAAAGGGUAUAGAGCAACCUUUGUGGGUGGACUUCAUAACAUUAACUCAUAAAUUCCAGGUGGCACCCAAACUAAAUCCGUGCUGAACUCAGCUUGCCUUGGUAUGUUUGUGGACAGCUCCCAUGGCAGUGGAUGAAUCAUGGGGAAAAAAAUCUCAAAUCCUGCUUCCAUGUGCCAGGUCCUAUUCUUACAUGUAUCAGCCAUGUGCAAGUGCCAGUCAGCACCCACCCCACCUCUGGCACCCCUUAAGCAUUCGCUAUUAAUAAUCAUGGUCAUCAUCAUACAUUCAGCUAGGAGAUAAAAUUAAGCAGUGAGUUAACAGGCAGCCUAAGCUCUCCGUGUCACCUUUCUUUUACAACUGCCCCAAAGGAGAAAAACAAGGCAUCACUCCACAAGAUUGGGAUGAUACUUCUACUCGGGAAGGCAUGUGCUUCUUUCACUGAAGGAUAUAUGUAUAUAUUUAAUUAUUAGUGACGGACCAUGAAAAGAUCUAUUUUCCCUUUUUAAAGCCUUUUCCCUUCUUUACAGUGCGGUAUCGUUGUACUGUUUAAUGUGUGCAGCACUUUCUAGAGCUUACUAAACAACCUAAACAGUUAAUCUGGUGUUCUGGUAUUAUCACAAUAAUUCCUGAAUUUCAGAGAUGAAAAAUAAGUCUAGACUUUGGUUACCCCUCCUAGAAUUCUGCCUAAGCAGUGUUUUAUGUCACGUCUCCUGUACCGUCAGGUUGAGAAGCCAGCGUUUAUGUGCCCACUGUGGAUGGCUCCAAUAAGGUUUCCAGUUUCAUUUUUCAUGUAGACAGUUGGUCCUCACUAAUACCGUCCUUUAAAAUUUUCCUUAUGGGGCACCUAGGUGGCUCACUCGUUAAGCGUCUGCCCUCAGCUCAGGUCAUGAUCCCAGGGUCCUGGGAUCGAGUCCCGCAUCAGGCUCCCUGCUCAGCUGGGAGUCUCCUUCGCCCUCUCCCACUCCCCCUGCUUGUGUUCCCUCUUUCGCUGUUUCUCUCUCUCUCUCUGUGUGUCAAGUAAAUAAAUAAUAUCUUAAAAAAUAAAAAAAAUAAAAUUUUCCUUAUAAGUUCUUUGAUUCAGGUAAGAUUAAGACAACAGAUGCCAGCCAUUGAGGAAACAUGGUCUUUCCUGUUUUGACUAGCAUUUCCAUGAGAACGUGGGACAUUAAACCCAGUCUCAGAAAUGCUCCUCAGAGGGACACAUAAGCAGAGAGAGGCUAUCCUUAGAAUCUGCGGUUCAAAUGCAAAUGCAGGCACAACUGUGACUUUAUUUUUAAAGUAAGCAUUUUGCAGCCCUAAAUUUGUUUCCGUAUGAAUGCAUGUGCUGAAAAGUGAAUAUGGGUCCCCUUCAUUGUAUGUCUUUUUAAUUUUUUUAAUCAACUAAUCUACCCACAAAGAGAAUCUGCUCGAGACCUCAGAUGGUCAGUAAAAAAAAAAGUUAACAGUCCAUUCAAAAUGCCAAAAAUUAAAGUAUGAUUUCCAUGGGUAGGUUUUCGAAAGGUUGGCAUCUUAAUAAAAUAUCCCUUUUGGGCUCUAUGAAAUGAGCUAAUGUAAGGAAGAGCCUAGGGUACUAUUCCUUGAAUAUGUUGGAGUCCAGAGUCUGUCCUUUUGUUUCUUUUUAAACUCAGUGAACGUCUGGCAGUACCCAGAAGAAAGGUCAUCCCUAAAGCUAGCAAUUUCUAGAUUACAAAAGAUAUCACUGAAAAUGCAGAUUGUCAACGUUCUGUUUACAAUAGAGCUUAACACUUAUCCUUCAGUUUGAUUCCUUCUGAUAAGUUAUUUUUUGUUGUGGAAAUAUUUCAUGCUUCUGUAUGAAAUCCAGAAUAUUAAAACUGUAACCUUAUAUUAAUCUGUUUAUCAAGAAAGCAAAACCUUUAAGAAUUAUUGAGUGCAUAGAAGGGUAUUACCUUAUCUGGGAGAGGUCAUUUUAUGUCAGAAGUACAAGGUUAAUGAAGUGUUAAAUUCUUUCGCAAAAUUUUUACAUUCUUUAUGCUUUCUAAGCCUACUGCUUAGAAGAGCUUAGAAGCAUACCUUUAUAACAAAUAAGACAUUCAUAAUAAACAAAAGGCCAUUUCCCUUUUUAUCCAGCAUUAAAACAAAAGUAAAAAGAAGGGAGAGAGAGAAAGAAGACAAGGCUUUCCACUCAAGACUAAGCAUUAAUAUUAAUUAUCAAACAUCUUAAGUGUAGGCUUUUAUUUGCCCUGAGCAGGUUUGAGCUAAAUUCUGAAAUAUCCUGUCAACAAGUAUUUAUGAAAUGAAUCACUGUGUUAUUUCAACUUCACUGUACUCCACGGAAGCGUUAGGAUUUUGUUACUGGUUUUAAUGUUAAAACCAGAAUAAUUUAAAAGCUCUGUUUAUUUAGAUUCACUUCCCAUUUCAUCCAGUCUCUAAAGGCUACUGAAGCUUUGCAAUUCACAUGAAUUUUGGAACUGUGUUAUGUCCAUUUUCCUUUAUUGUCAGGCCAAACUGUGAAUGUUUAUGGUUCCAUGUGGUUCUUGUGUUANUGUCCAUUUUCCUUUAUUGUCAGGCCAAACAGUAAAUGUUUAUGGUUCCAUCUGGUUCUUGUGUUGCCGCUGUGUGGUUCCUUCCUGUGCAAACUGCAUUACACAGUGCACUCUCUGAUAGCAUCACUCCUGGCUCUGGGAAGCUCUUAGGCUACUUAUUUAUAUCCUGUCGCAGGGAGGGAGAAGGGAUGAACAAAAAUUCACCAACUAUUUGAAGUCAGGAUAGGAGCAAGAUCAGUGAAGUCUGAGGACUGAAAAAGCCAGGUCCAGUUAGACAGGGGCACGUCUUGACAAAGAUCAGGUGAAUAGACUAAUAGUCAAUGGUUCCUUAAUGGUUCCUGAAUAUGGACUGUUACCCGAGGCCACAGGCAAGGUGAGCUCUCUGAGUAUUUGCUCCCUAGCAGCCUGUUUUUUUCUGUUAUAACAUGUGUGACAUAGGCACUUACACGUUCAAUGUCUUUCUUCCUCACUGAAUUCCAUACCUUGUUAAUUCCUGUAAUCCCAGUGCCUAGGACACUGUAUGUGUUCACUAAACACUUGCAGAUGAACGAAUGUGAAAGGGAGGUAAUAAAUAAUUGGAAAUAGCAUUUUUUUCUCAGCUACUAUGGGCUAGCCAUUUUUUUUUUUUAAAGAUUUUAUUUAUUUAUUUGACAGAGAUACAGACAGUCAGCGAGAGAGGGAACACAAGCAGGGGGAGUGGGAGAGGAAGAAGCAGGCUCAUAGCGGAAGAGCCUGAUGUGGGGCUCGAUCCCACAACGCCGGGAUCACACCCUGAGCCGAAGGCAGACGCUUAACCGCUGUGCCACCCGGGUCCCCCUCCAUGAAUGAUUCUUAAAAACAUGGUACUGAGGGAAAGAAAACACACAGAACAAUACAUUCUAUUUUUGUAAAACCCCCAAAUAUGUAAAAACUAAGCUAUAUCGGUGGGGGAUACAUACUUAGUACAAUUACUCUGAAAAAAAGAAUAAGAAGAAAUGAUUACCGUAACAGGAUAGGGUUAUCUAUGAGAAGAGGGAGGAAGUUGUGAUUUUGCAGGGAAAGUGGGAGGGGUGCAUCUGGGAAGCUGGAAAUGUUCUAAUGUUAUUUCUUUUUUUUUUUUUUUAUAAUUAAUUUUAUUUUAUUAUAUUAUGUUAAUCACCAUACAGUACAUCCCCUGAUUCUGAUGUAAAGUUUGAUGCUUCAUUAGUUGCGUAUAACACCCAGUGCACCAUGCAAUACGUGCCCUCCUUACUACCCAUCACCAGUCUAUCCCCUUCCCCCACCCCCUCCCCUCUGAAGUCCUCAGUUUGUCUCUCACAGUCCAUAGUCUCUCAUGUUUCAUUCCCCCUUCUGAUUACCCCCCUUUUCUUUAUCCCUUUCUUCCCCUACCGAUCCUCCUAGUUCUUAUGUUCCAUAGAUGAGAGAAAUCAUAUGAUAAUUGUCUUUCUCUGCUUGACUUAUUUCACUUAGCAUUAUCUCCUCCAGUGCCGUCCAUGUUGCAGCAAAUGUUGAGAAUUCGUUCUUUCUGAUAGCUGAGUAAUAUUCCAUUGUAUAUAUGGACCACAGCUUCUUAAUCCAGUCAUCUGUUGAAGGGCAUCUCGGCUCCUUCCAUGAUUUGGCUAUUGUGGACAAUGCAGCUAUGAACAUUGGGGUGCAUAUGGCCCUUCUCUUUACUACGUCUGUAUCUUUGGGGUAAACACCCAGUAGUGCAAUGGCUGGGUCAUAGGGUAGUUCAAUUUUUAACUUUUUAAGGGACCUCCACACUGUUUUCCAGAGUGGCUGUACCAACUUGCAUUCCCACCAACAAUGUAGGAGGGAUCCCCUUUCUCCACAUCCUCU